This 166-nucleotide ribosomal RNA is filed under the name uncultured bacterium. Its description in RNAcentral is "partial 16S ribosomal RNA". It matches the Rfam family "Bacterial small subunit ribosomal RNA", at positions 1334 to 1500 of the family's 1533-position model. The record is from RNAcentral.
GCUAGUAAUCGCGGAUCAGCAUGCCGCGGUGAAUACGUUCCCGGGCCUUGUACACACCGCCCGUCACACCAUGAGAGUCGGGAACACCCGAAGUCCGUAGCCUAACCGCAAGGGGGGCGCGGCCGAAGGUGGGUUCGAUAAUUGGGUGAAGUCGUAACAAGGUACC